CCUACGGGUGGCAGCAGUGAGGAAUAUUGGUCAAUGGACGAGAGUCUGAACCAGCCAAGUAGCGUGAAGGAUGACUGCCCUACGGGUUGUAAACUUCUUUUGUAUGGGAAUAAAAUGUUCCACGUGUGGGAUUUUGUGUGUACCAUAUGAAUAAGGAUCGGCUAACUCCGUGCCAGCAGCCGCGGUAAUACGGAGGAUCCGAGCGUUAUCCGGAUUUAUUGGGGUUAAAGGGGGCGUAGGUGGAUUGUUAAGUCAGUUGUGAAAGUUGGCGGCUCAACCGGAAUAUUGCAGUUGAAACUGGCAGCCUUGAGUACAGUAGAGGUAGGCGGAAUUCGUGGUGUAGCGGUGAAAUGCAUAGAUAUCACGAAGAACUCCGAUUGCGAAGGCAGCUCACUGGAGUGCAACUGACGCUGAGGCUCGAAAGUGUGGGUAUCAAACAGGAUUAGAUACCCGAGUAGUC
This 460-nucleotide ribosomal RNA is filed under the name uncultured bacterium. RNAcentral's name for it is "partial 16S ribosomal RNA". It matches the Rfam family "Bacterial small subunit ribosomal RNA", at positions 338 to 795 of the family's 1533-position model. The record is from RNAcentral.